This 26-nucleotide unclassified non-coding RNA is filed under the name Mus musculus (house mouse). Its description in RNAcentral is "oocyte_clustered_small_RNA11626". The record is from RNAcentral. Lineage: Eukaryota; Metazoa; Chordata; Mammalia; Rodentia; Muridae.
UGUGUUUGCAUGGGUUCCCUUCAUCU